RNAcentral lists this ribosomal RNA (301 nucleotides) under uncultured bacterium. RNAcentral describes it as "partial 16S ribosomal RNA". It matches the Rfam family "Bacterial small subunit ribosomal RNA", at positions 509 to 809 of the family's 1533-position model. The record is from RNAcentral.
CAGUCGCCGCGGUAAUACGGAGGGUGCAAGCGUUAAUCGGAAUUACUGGGCGUAAAGCGCACGCAGGCGGUCUGACAAGUCAGAUGUGAAAUCCCCGGGCUUAACCUGGGAACUGCAUUUGAAACUGUCAGGCUGGAGUCUUGUAGAGGGGGGUAGAAUUCCAGGUGUAGCGGUGAAAUGCGUAGAGAUCUGGAGGAAUACCGGUGGCGAAGGCGGCCCCCUGGACAAAGACUGACGCUCAGGUGCGAAAGCGUGGGGAGCAAACAGGAUUAGAUACCCGCGUAGUCCCUGUCUCUUAUCA